This 578-nucleotide ribosomal RNA is filed under the name Globigerinita uvula. Its description in RNAcentral is "SSU rRNA". It matches the Rfam family "Eukaryotic small subunit ribosomal RNA", at positions 1243 to 1565 of the family's 1831-position model. The record is from RNAcentral. Lineage: Eukaryota; Foraminifera; Rotaliida; Globigerinitidae.
ACAGGCAAUAUAUGUGACUCUUCGGAGUUUGCAUUGUUAAAUAUGCUAGUCCUUUCAUGAUUAUGUGAUAGGUGGUGCAUGGCCGUUCUUAGUUCGUGGAGUGAUCUGUCUGCUUAAUUGCGUUUCAAAUUACUUAUAAGGUAGCAAUACGCGAUGAAGCUUUCAAUAGUCCUCACGGAUUCACUUGAGUCUCUCGCUUCGCUAUCCUUUCGAAUGCAACGAACGUGACCGCAACCUCUUGUUGCCUUCGUUUAACAUCCUGCAGCUCGCUGUGGGUACUGAGGGCUUCACUCGGUGACUUUGGGCUGAGCAAUCGGUCUUUUGAUCUGAGUAAACUAGAGGGACCGCUGUCAACUUCUUAAACCAGAGGAAGGUUGCGGCAAUAACAGGUCUGUGAUGCCCUUAGAUGUUCCGGGCUGCACACGUGCUACAAUGAUCGUAGCAGUGAGCAUCUUAUUUGAUUUACUUAACACCGCAUACGUGAGUACCAACUAGCUUAGCAAUAAGUCAAGUAGUUCUCUACGCAGCGGUAACAGCCUGCUUCGAGAGCAAGUGGGUAAUCAAUUAGAAGUAACGAU